CCCCCCUUCAUGGAGACUGGAACCUGUGGAUAGAAAGAGAUUCAAUGGUGCGCUAAGGAGAAAAGGCCUGACUAAAAGUGGAGGAACUGGCACCACGGAAGAACUAUACUACAGAGGCUACAUGUGGAUGAGUGGGAAUGGAUCUGUUGAGGCGGUAUGCAAAUUAGAGUGGGUCCAAGGUGACAGUGCAUGCAUUCAACAAGCUUGGGACAAAGGACUUCCACUGGGCCGCCAUCUCCAAAGUUCACCCAAACAAGCAAUAGUUCUGAACUGGGCUUGAUUUUGUUUCUGUUGUUUUAGUUAUUUCAAUUUUGUUCAUUCUCUUCUAAACAUCCAUUGGUUGAAAGCUCAUUGUAAUGUCGUCCCCCCUUUAAACAUCCUAAGGUCCACAUCCCCAUAGUGUUCGCAUUUCUCUCUUGUAAAUGUUGUAGCUACAUUAAAUGAACAGUUUAUUUGGGAAAUGUUCAGUCUUUAAAUAAAGUUAAAUAAAGGUUAAA
This is a long non-coding RNA of Oncorhynchus keta (chum salmon), 497 nucleotides long. RefSeq lists it as uncharacterized. The record is from RefSeq and is a predicted model, not a curated record. NCBI's taxonomy places the organism in Eukaryota, Metazoa, Chordata, Actinopteri, Salmoniformes, Salmonidae. The transcript is spliced from 3 exons.